RNAcentral lists this ribosomal RNA (253 nucleotides) under uncultured bacterium. RNAcentral describes it as "partial 16S ribosomal RNA". It matches the Rfam family "Bacterial small subunit ribosomal RNA", at positions 524 to 776 of the family's 1533-position model. The record is from RNAcentral.
UACAGAGGGUGCGAGCGUUAAUCGGAAUUACUGGGCGUAAAGCGCACGUAGGCGGCUUGGUAUGUCGGGUGUGAAAUCCCCGGGCUCAACCUGGGAACUGCAUCCGAAACUGCCUUGCUAGAGUAUGGGAGAGGGAAGUGGAAUUUCCGGUGUAGCGGUGAAAUGCGUAGAUAUCGGAAGGAACAUCAGUGGCGAAGGCGACUUCCUGGACCAAUACUGACGCUCAGGUGCGAAAGCUAGGGGAGCAAACGGG